RNAcentral lists this ribosomal RNA (511 nucleotides) under uncultured bacterium. RNAcentral describes it as "bacterial SSU rRNA". It matches the Rfam family "Bacterial small subunit ribosomal RNA", at positions 9 to 518 of the family's 1533-position model. The record is from RNAcentral.
GAGUUAUGGCUCAGGAUGAACGCUAGCGACAGGCUUAACACAUGCAAGUCGAGGGGCAGCAUAGAAGUAGCAAUACUCGGUGGCGACCGGCGCACGGGUGAGUAACGCGUAUGCAACCUACCUAUCAGAGGGGAAUAACCCGGCGAAAGUCGGACUAAUACCGCAUAAAACAGGGGCACCGCAUGGUGAUAUUUGUUAAAGAAAUUCGCUGAUAGAUGGGCAUGCGUUCCAUUAGGUAGUUGGUGAGGUAACGGCUCACCAAGCCGACGAUGGAUAGGGGAACUGAGAGGUUGGUCCCCCACACUGGUACUGAGACACGGACCAGACUCCUACGGGAGGCAGCAGUGAGGAAUAUUGGUCAAUGGGCGGGAGCCUGAACCAGCCAAGUCGCGUGAAGGAAGAAGGAUCUAUGGUUCGUAAACUUCUUUUGCAGGGGAAUAAAGUGCAGGACGUGUCCUGUUUUGUAUGUACCCUGAGAAUAAGGAUCGGCUAACUCCGUGCCAGCCGCCGC